AGCUCAGCCCUUAUAACUACGAGAGGAUCGAAGUAGUGCUGAAGAUCAUUCAGGCCGCAGAUGACACUGUGACAACCUUUUCUGUUAGUCGGGCAAUGGGCCUCCUUCAGCACCUGAAGUCCUACAAGCGAGUCUCUCCUCCCUCAGAAGUGGAAACCGAGUAUCUUCUGGAAAACAGCUUGAUGCCAAACCUCCUGCCCAAAAGAAGACUGCCCUUCCACCCACUCAUGCAGAACAAACACUACUGGAAGAUCAUCUCUCCUGAGCUCAGUGAGGAGACCUUCCCUACUCUGCUGCUGAUUAGCAAACUGAUGAAGGU
Long non-coding RNA from Notothenia coriiceps (black rockcod), 319 nucleotides. RefSeq lists it as uncharacterized. Lineage: Eukaryota; Metazoa; Chordata; Actinopteri; Perciformes; Nototheniidae. The record is from RefSeq and is a predicted model, not a curated record. The transcript has 3 exons.